AGUGAACGCUGGCGGUAGGCCUAACACAUGCAAGUCGAACGGCAGCACAGUAAGAGCUUGCUCUUACGGGUGGCGAGUGGCGGACGGGGGAGGAAUACAUCGGAAUCUACUUUUUCGUGGGGGGGAACGAAGGGAAAAUUAUGAUAAUACCGCAUACGAACUACGGGUGAAAGCAGGGGAACGUGGGAACUUGCUUGAUUGAAAGAGCCGGUGUCGGAUUAGCUAGGUUGGGGGGUAAAGGACCAGCAAGGCAAGGAACCGUAGCGGGUCUGAGAGGAGGGUAAGCCACACUAGAACUGAGACACGGUCCAGACUACUACGGGAGGCAGCAGUGGGGAAUAUUGGACAAUGGGCGCAAGCCUGAUCCAGCCAUACCGAGUGGGUGAAGAAGGCCUUCGGGUUGUAAAGCCCUUUUGUUGGGAAAGAAAAGCAGCAGGUUAAUACCCCGCUGUUCUGACGGUACCCAAUGAAUAAGCACCGGCUAACUUCGUG
Molecule: ribosomal RNA, 492 nt
Filed under: uncultured bacterium
Lineage: Bacteria
Description: partial 16S ribosomal RNA
Rfam family: Bacterial small subunit ribosomal RNA
Source: RNAcentral